UACGUAGGGGGCUAGCGUUGUCCGGAUUUAUUGGGCGUAAAGAGCGUGUAGGCGGCCAGGUAGGUCCGUUGUGAAAACUCGAGGCUCAACCUCGAGACGUCGGCGGAAACCCUCUGGCUAGAGUCCGGAAGAGGAGAGUGGAAUUCCUGGUGUAGCGGUGAAAUGCGCAGAUAUCAGGAAGAACACCCGUGGCGAAGGCGGCUCUCUGGGACGGUACUGACGCUGAGACGCGAAAGCGUGGGGAGCAAACAGG
RNAcentral lists this ribosomal RNA (253 nucleotides) under uncultured bacterium. RNAcentral's name for it is "partial 16S ribosomal RNA". It matches the Rfam family "Bacterial small subunit ribosomal RNA", at positions 524 to 776 of the family's 1533-position model. The record is from RNAcentral.